This 279-nucleotide ribosomal RNA is filed under the name uncultured bacterium. RNAcentral describes it as "partial 16S ribosomal RNA". It matches the Rfam family "Bacterial small subunit ribosomal RNA", at positions 506 to 784 of the family's 1533-position model. The record is from RNAcentral.
UGCCAGCCGCCGCGGUAAGACGGAGGGUGCAAACGUUGUUCGGAAUUACUGGGCAUAAAGCGCACGUAGGCGGCCAAGUCAGUCCGUUGUGAAAGCCCUCGGCUCAACCGGGGAACUGCAAUGGAUACUGCUUGGCUAGAGGACGGUUGGGGUGAGUGGAACUCCUGGUGGAGCGGUGAAAUGCGUAGAUAUCAGGAGGAACACCAGUGGCGAAAGCGGCUCACUGGACCGUAUCUGACGCUGAGGUGCGAAAGCUAGGGUAGCGAACGGGAUUAGAUA